Molecule: transfer RNA, 70 nt
Filed under: Loxodonta africana (African savanna elephant)
Lineage: Eukaryota; Metazoa; Chordata; Mammalia; Proboscidea; Elephantidae
Rfam family: tRNA
About the family: Transfer RNA (tRNA) molecules are approximately 80 nucleotides in length. Their secondary structure includes four short double-helical elements and three loops (D, anti-codon, and T loops).
Source: Rfam by way of RNAcentral
GCAGUGGUGGUUCAGUGGUAGAAUUCUCACUUUCAUGUGGAAGACCCAGGUUCGAUUCCCAGCCAAUGCA